Molecule: non-coding RNA, 1680 nt
Organism: Camelina sativa (false flax)
Lineage: Eukaryota; Viridiplantae; Streptophyta; Magnoliopsida; Brassicales; Brassicaceae
Source: RefSeq, a predicted model, not a curated record
UCCCUGUCUCGUGAGCAAGAUACUUUCCUUUCGAGAAGUCUAGAGAUUUGCCUGCAGCAUCGCACACUACGCUUCCAGCUUCUGCACAAGGGUACCUGUGGUGAUGAUUGAACCAGGAGCAUGGUCCCAUAUACACUCGCGGUAUCCACUGAGCGUGAAACGCAAGUAUAUUUCUGCGUCUCCUCGGGACAAAGCUGCAUACUUAGCUUGGCUAUCGAUCCUUACAGCCUACAUAAGAGCAGACUGUGAUAGAAAGAAUAAAGAUGUUACCUUUGCAAUGGUACCAUGGAUGAGAAUUGGUUUAUGGUAUGAUUCCAAGAACUUGGCUUCUUCGAGAUUCUCAUUGCUACUCACUUUCACCUGUCAACAUAGCUUUCACUCUCUUUAACACUACCAGACAAUCGCAGAUUUAUCAUGGUUGAGCUUUGGAUAGGUAAAUGAUACCUUCUGUGGCGGAGAAUUUCCUUUGAGAGGUUGCACGUAAGUCCCUGAACCCGUUGUAGCAAAGAAAAGGCAGCCAACAUCUUCAGGGGAAGAGUUAUCCGUCUCACAAACCGCAGAAGCCACGGGAAGAUUUGGGCAAGCCAUGACACCGAGCACCACUUUGCCUUCCACAAGCAAGGCUAAUCCCACGGCGUAUUGCUCUCCUUUUACAAAUCUAAGAAUGCAGAGAAAUUCAUUAAUCCGGUUUCUAAGGUAAAGCAUAGUGAAAGCACACAGAUUACAGAGAUUUGUUACCCUUUGGUUCCAUCUAUAGGGUCAAGAAUCCAGUGGCAGCCGCUACAACCGCCUUCUGAUUUACCGCAGUCUAUAGCGUUUAACACGUCAUCUGUGGAUAGAGGAGAGCCAGCGUACGAUUCCUCAGAAGCUAGAGUAUCUUUCACAAGCUUAGUAAUAACUUCUAGGAACUCCUCACUUCCCUUCUUUCGCAGAUCUCCAAAUUCCUGUUGGAGCUCCCUCUCCAAUACAAGACUAACAACAGCUUGCGAGCCUGAAGAAACCAUCCAUAAAUGGGAGAAGUGAAGACAUUUUCUUGAUUGAUUCUAGAGAGAAGCCGAGACUAGCAAACAAGAAACUUGAAUUUGAAUGGGUAAAGCAAACGACGAGGUACAAACCGUAAUCAGCUGAGUAACCGGACUUCUAUCGGAUUUACUCCAUACUUGGGAUUGCAGCAGAGUCUUCUGCACCUCCUGAUUCAUUACAUUAUAAGGUUUGUUUAGUUUCAACGAUUCAUAUAAGCUCCAUGCUUUGAUUUUCUAGGUCCAAAUUGUUACGGUAUAUGAUGGUAUAGUUCAAUGGUGGAUGAGAAAGUAGUCGUCGUUACCUGGCUGAGACAAGCAGCUAGAGAGACGGCUUUCUUUGCAGCGGCUAGCUCCUUCUCAUAAGACAUUGAAAAGCUUCAAGACUGUAUCUAUGUUAUAAUCCAAGACUCCAAGGGAGAACGUAGAAGUAGUCAACACUGAUAUAAAAUAGAGUUUCGUGCGAGACGGAGUUAGUGUUGCAAACCGUCUUCCACGUAAUGCCAGAACAAGUUGACGUUUAAAAAAGAGGAAAAUUAAAGAUAAGAACUUACAGAAUAUGUAGACGUAAUAUUAUACUAUAUUAUCAUGUAGAAUAUUUCACGGAUUUUUGUAUCGAUUUGCAUAUUGUAAUAAUAAUAGUCGUUAGAAAACAAGAGUG